This 379-nucleotide ribosomal RNA is filed under the name uncultured eukaryote. RNAcentral's name for it is "partial 18S ribosomal RNA". It matches the Rfam family "Eukaryotic small subunit ribosomal RNA", at positions 592 to 976 of the family's 1831-position model. The record is from RNAcentral.
CAAUAGCGUAUAUUAAAGUUGUUGCGGUUAAAAAGCUCGUAGUUGGAUUUCUGCCGAGGACGACCGGUCCGCCCUCUGGGUGUGUAUCUGGUUUGGCCUGGGCAUCUUCUUGGAGAACGUAGCUGCACUUGACUGUGUGGUGCGGUGUCCAGGACUUUUACUUUGAGGAAAUUAGAGUGUUUCAAGCAGGCACACGCCUUGAAUACAUUAGCAUGGAAUAAUAAGAUAGGACCUCGGUUCUAUUUGUUGGUUUCUAGAGCUGAGGUAAUGAUUAAAAGGGAUAGUUGGGGGCAUUCGUAUUUAACAGUCAGAGGUGAAAUUCUUGGAUUUGUUAGAGACGGACUACUGCGAAAGCAUUUGCCAAGGAUGUUUUCAUUGA